GAUUUCUGCCUGCCGAGCAGGGUGGUCUAGCACAUUGACCUCACCAUGGCUGGGGGAUUUCUCUCAGUCUUUCUAGGGCGUCCAGAAUAAUCACCGACCUCACAGAGGCAGUUUCUCCAUGACGCGCUGUUGACCGCGAGCACACUGGGCGUUUCAUUGGGCGAGGAGAAGCCAGCGGGCAGGAUGGGAGGCAGCAGGAGGGGGCGCUCAGGGCUGGGCCGGCAAGGGGCCUGCGCACUGGCUGCCCUCCUGCUCUGGCUGUGCCUCCCACCGCUAAGUGCCCAGACCACGCCAUCCAAUCCUAGCGUUCAAAACCAGGCUGCAUCAUGCGGGAGGAGCACAGUCACAGGGAAGAUCUUUGGUGGCCAGGCAGCAGCAGCAGAACGGUGGCCAUGGCUGGCCAGUGUGGUUGUUAGGAGAAAGCACAUCUGUGGAGCCUCCCUCAUCUCCAACAGCUGGGUGCUCUCUGCUGGAAGCUGUGUACAAAGGUCAGAAAUCACAUCAGACUACCGCAUCUGGCUAGGGUACACUGAACUGGGCAAUCCCACCAACUUCAGCAAGCAGGUGAAAAUCGACGCGUUCUUCACCCCAGAUGAAUACAACAAGGCACACCCCUUAGCAAGUGACGUCAGUCUGUUACACCUGGAAGACCCUGUGGAAUUCAACUCUCAUGUCCGGCCCAUCUGCCUCCCAGAAAACUCAACAGUAGUGCCCAUGAACAGCGUCUGCUGGAUAUAUGGCUGGGGGAAGCUCACUCAGACUGAUUUUCUACCCUCGCCCUUCCCGCUGCAGGAGGCCAAGGUCAGCCUCACAGAAAGGGAUUAUUGCAGGAAUCAAUACAUGCCCCCUAUAGGCAUGCCAGCAGACCAGAUGUUGAGUUUUCGGGAAGAUAAUAUAUGUGCCCACGACCCUUCUGUUGAGAAGUCCAUGUGCGCAGGAGACGCUGGGGGCCCAUUGUCCUGCUACUUGAAUGGUGCCUGGUAUGCAGUGGGCGUGACCAGUUGGAGCGGGGACUGCCAAAGUCCAGUCAGUCCCACCGUCUUUGCCAGUACCACCUACCAUGCCAGGUGGAUCAAGGAGAAGCAGAACUGGGUCAAACCCCCCCCAACACCCAAGCCCACCAAAGGCCCAUCUAAGAAGACGAGGCCCCCUGCAAUGACCAAUAAACCUAUUCCUGAUGCGGGUGCAGUGCACAAGCCCAGGGUCUUCCUGGUGCUGCUGUCAUCUGCCACUCUGCUGCUGCUGAUUCUCCUCCAGAGCCAGUGACAGGCUGGCCCCACCUCUCCAGAAGCCUCUGCCCUGAUCCCUGUGCCUGCACAUCUGGCUCCAACUAGGGGUCUUCCUGCCCAUAAGAGGUGCACAGGCUACCGUAUCUCAGGUCCCUGGUUCUGCACCUGCCAUGGGUGAUGAUGUCACAAUAUGGUCCUCCACAGGGGUGGCAGGCUGGGCAGUCUGAGAAGAGCCACAGCGUGGAAUGCAACUCAUGGAUGGAUACCUGCAUGCAUGGACUCAUGUGUCCUUGGACUUCUGCAUCUCAGGGCUGGGCUGCAGCCCCAGGGUGUGCAUGCCUGAGACACGCAAGCCCCUACAGCCUAUGUUGGGCAGUCACUGGCCUCUCCAGAAGGGUGCCCACACCUGCCUGACUGGCUCCCAGCAGGUGGACAAUGAGCAUCCCACACAUGGGACCAAGUUCUGGUCAGCCUGCAGAGAAGGAAAAGGGCAAGAGGAACCAGGACUGUGAGGCUGUGAGGCUGUGACCUGGCUAUUCUGGGAGCAGCUGGG
Molecule: RNA transcript, 1782 nt
Organism: Ochotona princeps (American pika)
Lineage: Eukaryota; Metazoa; Chordata; Mammalia; Lagomorpha; Ochotonidae
Gene name: inactive serine protease 39
Exons: 6
Source: RefSeq, a predicted model, not a curated record